CGAACGAGCGAGAGAGAGCUUGCUUUCUCGAGCGAGUGGCGAACGGGUGAGUAACGCGUGAGGAACCUGCCUCAAAGAGGGGGACAACAGUUGGAAACGACUGCUAAUACCGCAUAAGCCCACGGUGCCGCAUGGCACAGAGGGAAAAGGAGCAAUCCGCUUUGAGAUGGCCUCGCGUCCGAUUAGCUAGUUGGUGAGGUAACGGCCCACCAAGGCGACGAUCGGUAGCCGGACUGAGAGGUUGAACGGCCACAUUGGGACUGAGACACGGCCCAGACUCCUACGGGAGGCAGCAGUGGGGAAUAUUGCACAAUGGGGGAAACCCUGAUGCAGCGACGCCGCGUGGAGGAAGAAGGUCUUCGGAUUGUAAACUCCUGUUGUUGGGGAAGAUAAUGACGGUACCCAACAAGGAAGUGACGGCUAACUACGUGCCAGCAGCCGCGGUAAAACGUAGGUCACAAGCGUUGUCCGGAAUUACUGGGUGUAAAGGGAGCGCAGGCGGGAAGACAAGUUGGAAGUGAAAUCUAUGGGCUCAACCCAUAAACUGCUUUCAAAACUGUUUUUCUCGAGUAGUGCAGAGGUAGGCGGAAUUCCCGGUGUAGCGGUGGAAUGCGUAGAUAUCGGGAGGAACACCAGU
RNAcentral lists this ribosomal RNA (637 nucleotides) under uncultured Lachnospiraceae bacterium. RNAcentral's name for it is "bacterial SSU rRNA". It matches the Rfam family "Bacterial small subunit ribosomal RNA", at positions 63 to 713 of the family's 1533-position model. Lineage: Bacteria; Bacillati; Bacillota; Clostridia; Lachnospirales; Lachnospiraceae. The record is from RNAcentral.